AUUAAACGCUGGCGGCAUGCCUUACACAUGCAAGUCGAACGGCAGCACGGGGUGGUAACACUCUGGUGGCGAGUGGCGGACGGGUGAGUAAAGCAUCGGAACGUGCCCUGGAAUGGGGGAUAACGUAGCGAAAGUUACGCUAAUACCGCAUAUUCUGUGAGCAGGAAAGCAGGGGAUCGCAAGACCUUGCGUUCGAGGAGCGGCCGAUGUCGGAUUAGCUAGUUGGUGGGGUAAAGGCCUACCAAGGCGACGAUCCGUAGCGGGUCUGAGAGGAUGAUCCGCCACACUGGGACUGAGACACGGCCCAGACUCCUACGGGAGGCAGCAGUGGGGAAUUUUGGGACAAAUGGAGGGAACUCUGAACCAGCCAUCCCGCGUGCAGGA
RNAcentral lists this ribosomal RNA (384 nucleotides) under uncultured bacterium. RNAcentral describes it as "bacterial SSU rRNA". It matches the Rfam family "Bacterial small subunit ribosomal RNA", at positions 29 to 408 of the family's 1533-position model. The record is from RNAcentral.